This 526-nucleotide ribosomal RNA is filed under the name Herbaspirillum sp. Y1. RNAcentral's name for it is "bacterial SSU rRNA". It matches the Rfam family "Bacterial small subunit ribosomal RNA", at positions 1 to 524 of the family's 1533-position model. The record is from RNAcentral. Lineage: Bacteria; Pseudomonadati; Pseudomonadota; Betaproteobacteria; Burkholderiales; Oxalobacteraceae.
UGGAGAGUUUGAUCCUGGCUCAGAUUGAACGCUGGCGGCAUGCCUUACACAUGCAAGUCGAACGGCAGCAUAGGAGCUUGCUCCUGAUGGCGAGUGGCGAACGGGUGAGUAAUAUAUCGGAACGUGCCCUAGAGUGGGGGAUAACUAGUCGAAAGACUAGCUAAUACCGCAUACGAUCUACGGAUGAAAGUGGGGGAUCGCAAGACCUCAUGCUCCUGGAGCGGCCGAUAUCUGAUUAGCUAGUUGGUGGGGUAAAAGCCUACCAAGGCAACGAUCAGUAGCUGGUCUGAGAGGACGACCAGCCACACUGGGACUGAGACACGGCCCAGACUCCUACGGGAGGCAGCAGUGGGGAAUUUUGGACAAUGGGGGCAACCCUGAUCCAGCAAUGCCGCGUGAGUGAAGAAGGCCUUCGGGUUGUAAAGCUCUUUUGUCAGGGAAGAAACGGUAGUAGCGAAUAACUAUUACUAAUGACGGUACCUGAAGAAUAAGCACCGGCUAACUACGUGCCAGCAGCCGCGGUAAU